This 119-nucleotide ribosomal RNA is filed under the name Pteropus alecto (black flying fox). Lineage: Eukaryota; Metazoa; Chordata; Mammalia; Chiroptera; Pteropodidae. The record is from RNAcentral.
GUCUAAGGCCAUGCCACCCUGAACAAGCCCGAUCCCAUCUGAUCUCGGAAGCUAAGCCGGGUCGGGCCUGCUUAGUACUUGGAGAAGAGACCACCUAGGAAGACUAGGUGCUGUAGGCA